UGAGUAACGCGUAUCCAACCUGCCGUCUACUCUUGGACAGCCUUCUGAAAGGAAGAUUAAUACAAGAUGGCAUCAUGAGUCCGCAUGUUCACAUGAUUAAAGGUAUUCCGGUAGACGAUGGGGAUGCGUUCCAUUAGAUAGUAGGCGGGGUAACAGCCCACCUAGUCUUCGAUGGAUAGGGGUUCUGAGAGGAAGGUCCCCCACAUUGGAACUGAGACACGGUCCAA
RNAcentral lists this ribosomal RNA (227 nucleotides) under uncultured bacterium. RNAcentral's name for it is "partial 16S ribosomal RNA". It matches the Rfam family "Bacterial small subunit ribosomal RNA", at positions 107 to 334 of the family's 1533-position model. The record is from RNAcentral.